GAGGUUGUAGCUCAGUAGGUUAGAGCGUCGGAUUGUGGUUCCGAAGGUCGCGGGUUCGAAACCCGUCUCCCUCCCCA
RNAcentral lists this transfer RNA (77 nucleotides) under Bacteroidota bacterium. RNAcentral's name for it is "Bacteroidetes bacterium (freshwater metagenome) tRNA-His". It matches the Rfam family "tRNA". Rfam says of the family: Transfer RNA (tRNA) molecules are approximately 80 nucleotides in length. Their secondary structure includes four short double-helical elements and three loops (D, anti-codon, and T loops). The record is from RNAcentral. Lineage: Bacteria; Pseudomonadati; Bacteroidota.